Molecule: ribosomal RNA, 496 nt
Filed under: uncultured bacterium
Lineage: Bacteria
Description: partial 16S ribosomal RNA
Rfam family: Bacterial small subunit ribosomal RNA
Source: RNAcentral
GAUGAACGCUAGCGGCAGGCCUAACACAUGCAAGUCGAGGGGUAGAAGCAGCUUGCUGCUUUGAGACCGGCGCACGGGUGCGUAACGCGUAUGCAAUCUACCUUUUACUAAGGAAUAGCCCAGAGAAAUUUGGAUUAAUGCCUUAUGGUAUAUUUGAAUGGCAUCAUUUAAAUAUUAAAGAUUUAUUGGUAAAAGAUGAGCAUGCGUCCCAUUAGUUAGUUGGUAAGGUAACGGCUUACCAAGACGAUGAUGGGUAGGGGUCCUGAGAGGGAGAUCCCCCACACUGGUGCUGAGACACGGACCAGACUCCUACGGGAGGCAGCAGUGAGGAAUAUUGGUCAAUGGAGGCAACUCUGAACCAGCCAUGCCGCGUGCAGGAUGACGGUCCUAUGGAUUGUAAACUGCUUUUGUACAGGAAGAAAAAGAGUUACGUGUAGCUUAUUGACGGUACUGUAAGAAUAAGGAUCGGCUAACUCCGUGCCAGCCGCCGCGGUAA